UUUAAGCGCAACCAUGAGUUUCCGUGCCUAACUUUGAUCAUCCGUCUUAUUUGAAUUUUUUUAUUAGUAUUUUUGUUGUUAUUAGAUGAUAAAACAUGAAUAGUACUUUUAUGCAGAACUUAUGUUUUUUAAAUUUUUUUUACAAAUCUUUCAAAAUAAGACGGAUGAUUAAAUUUGAAUACGAAAACUCAUGGCUGCGCUCAGA
This is a microRNA precursor of Oryza sativa Japonica Group (Japanese rice), 205 nucleotides long. It matches the Rfam family "MIR812 microRNA precursor family". The record is from Rfam. NCBI's taxonomy places the organism in Eukaryota, Viridiplantae, Streptophyta, Magnoliopsida, Poales, Poaceae.